ACGGGUUUCUCUGCGGAGGGUUGAAACCCCAUGCUUCCCAGGGCUUCCGUUGAACGCAGAGUUUGCAUUUGGAAGUCUGAGAGGGAGGGACGGUGCUGAACUGACCUCGAAUCUCCCUUAGACUGGCCACACCAGUCACGUGGUCUCCACGUUCCGUGUCACCCCAGCUCCUGCCUCUUCCUCCCCUCCCGCGUCCUGGUGAGGCCUCGCUCAGUCCCUCCUCACUUUUUAUCCUUCCUCCAGCUGCGAUCCAGUGGCCCUUUUCUGGGUGAUCAGGCUUGCUCAUCCUCCCGGACUCCUCGGGUCUGAGAGGAAUCUUCUCAAAACGCAGCACGAGCAGGGUCCACGGCAGCUCAGAAAUUCCCUGCCCUCAGCUGGCAUUUCCCUGACUUCUUGAAGACUCAUCUUUCUACAUCUUGCUUUCCCCUCCCUGUCAUCUCAAGUACCCUACGAUGAAACCAAAGCCACGGCUGAGUGCUGUGGCUCCCGAGAGGGUAAACAAUUUUUUUUUUUAAUGCUAGAAUGUUUAAAAGCAAAACAUUUUGAAUUUGAAAACAGCAUAGAGAUAACCGCAACCUAUAAAUCAAGGAAUUGGUGGGGCUCCAAAAAUGCUCAAGCCAAAUUCUUUCUGUUCUCCCCCCUUUCAGCCCUGUUAUCUGUUUGCAUGCCCUCUUGGGCUUUGUGCGGGGGUUUCAUUCUACUGGUUUUGUGCACACAGAACAGACCUCCAGGUCUUGGCAGCCCUCAGGAAGCAGGACCUGGAAAGCAAUUAUGGCCAAGAAUCCCUUCCUUUCAGGAACUCGUGGUGUUCUGUUCAUAUGCCCUAGGGGUUUAUGCAGCAUUGCGGCGCUUGAAGGCUCAUCUCUCUGCGCACAGAGAUGGGCGUUGCAGAAAAGGAAAAAGAAAAAUCACAUGA
RNAcentral lists this long non-coding RNA (916 nucleotides) under Bos indicus x Bos taurus (hybrid cattle). RNAcentral describes it as "lncRNA (ENSBIXG00005000089.1)". The record is from RNAcentral. Lineage: Eukaryota; Metazoa; Chordata; Mammalia; Artiodactyla; Bovidae.